Molecule: transfer RNA, 72 nt
Filed under: Bos taurus (domestic cattle)
Lineage: Eukaryota; Metazoa; Chordata; Mammalia; Artiodactyla; Bovidae
Also listed under: 5 other names
Rfam family: tRNA
About the family: Transfer RNA (tRNA) molecules are approximately 80 nucleotides in length. Their secondary structure includes four short double-helical elements and three loops (D, anti-codon, and T loops).
Source: Rfam by way of RNAcentral
UCCCUGGUGGCUCAGUGGUAAAGCAUCUGCCUGCUAAUGCAGGAGACACAGGUUUGAUUCCUAAUCCAGGAA